Epinephelus lanceolatus (giant grouper) is the source of this 194-nucleotide non-coding RNA. The record is from RefSeq and is a predicted model, not a curated record. Lineage: Eukaryota; Metazoa; Chordata; Actinopteri; Perciformes; Serranidae.
ACCUGGGACAAAUCCAACAAUGACUCAACAGCUUCCCUCCGUGGAGAACCUGCAGCCUGCUGUCGGAAAAUGCAGUCACCUCACAGCAACCAGCAGGAUCCAUAAACUCCUGGGAACCAGUGAAUGUCACUUUACCUACAUAAGACAAAGAAAGAGAAUAUGAAUGGAAAAAAACAUCAGUGUGGAUGAUGAUG